This 146-nucleotide unclassified non-coding RNA is filed under the name uncultured Leohumicola. Its description in RNAcentral is "sequence contains ITS2". Lineage: Eukaryota; Fungi; Ascomycota; Leotiomycetes. The record is from RNAcentral.
UAACCCCUCAAGCCUGGCUUGGUGUUGGGGCCUGCGGUCACCGGCAGCCCUUAAAAUCAGUGGCGGCGCCCUCGGGCUCUGAGCGUAGUAAUCCUUCUCGCUACAGGGCCCUGGGUGGGUGCUGGCCAUCAACCCCUCCUUUCUCU